Pongo abelii (Sumatran orangutan) is the source of this 148-nucleotide unclassified non-coding RNA. It matches the Rfam family "Metazoan signal recognition particle RNA". From Rfam's summary of the family: The signal recognition particle (SRP) is a universally conserved ribonucleoprotein. It is involved in the co-translational targeting of proteins to membranes. The eukaryotic SRP consists of a 300-nucleotide 7S RNA and six proteins: SRPs 72, 68, 54, 19, 14, and 9. NCBI's taxonomy places the organism in Eukaryota, Metazoa, Chordata, Mammalia, Primates, Hominidae. The record is from Ensembl.
GCCUGGCGUGGUGGCGCAUAUCUGUAAUCCCAGCUACUUGGGAGGCUGAGGUGGGAGAAUCACUUGAACCCAGGAGGUGGAGGUUGCAGUGAGCUGAAACUGAGCCACUGCACUCCAGCCUGGGUGACAGAGUGAGACUCCAUCUCAA